AUGAACGCUAGCGACAGGCUUAACACAUGCAAGUCGAGGGGCAGCAUGAUUUGUAGCAAUACAGAUUGAUGGCGACCGGCGCACGGGUGAGUAACGCGUAUGCAACUUACCUAUCAGAGGGGGAUAGCCCGGCGAAAGUCGGAUUAAUACCCCAUAAAACAGGGGUCCCGCAUGGGAAUAUUUGUUAAAGAUUCAUCGCUGAUAGAUAGGCAUGCGUUCCAUUAGGCAGUUGGCGGGGUAACGGCCCACCAAACCGACGAUGGAUAGGGGUUCUGAGAGGAAGGUCCCCCACAUUGGUACUGAGACACGGACCAAACUCCUACGGGAGGCAGCAGUGAGGAAUAUUGGUCAAUGGCCGAGAGGCUGAACCAGCCAAGUCGCGUGAAGGAAGAAGGAUCUAUGGUUUGUAAACUUCUUUUAUAGGGGAAUAAAGUGGAGGACGUGUCCUUUUUUGUAUGUACCCUAUGAAUAAGCAUCGGCUAACUCCGUGCCAGCAGCCGCGGUAAUACGGAGGAUGCGAGCGUUAUCCGGAUUUAUUGGGUUUAAAGGGUGCGUAGGUGGUGAUUUAAGUCAGCGGUGAAAGUUUGUGGCUCAACCAUAAAAUUGCCGUUGAAACUGGGUUACUUGAGUGUGUUUGAGGUAGGCGGAAUGCGUGGUGUAGCGGUGAAAUGCAUAGAUAUCACGCAGAACUCCGAUUGCGAAGGCAGCUUACUAAACCAUAACUGACACUGAAGCACGAAAGCGUGGGGAUCAAACAGGAUUAGAUACCCUGGUAGUCCACGCAGUAAACGAUGAUUACUAGGAGUUUGCGAUACAAUGUAAGCUCUACAGAGAAAGCGUUAAGUAAUCCACCUGGGGAGUACGCCGGCAACGGCGAAACUCAAAGGAAUUGACGGGGGCCCGCACAAGCGGAGGAACAUGUGGUUUAAUUCGAUGAUACGCGAGGAACCUUACCCGGGUUUGAACGUAGUCUGACCGGAGUGGAAACACUCUUUCUAGCAAUAUCAGAUUAUGAGGUGCUGCAUGGUUGUCGUCAGCUCGUGCCGUGAGGUGUCGGCUUAAGUGCCAUAACGAGCGCAACCCUUAUCACUAGUUACUAACAGGUGAAGAUGAGGACUCUGGUGAGACUGCCAGCGUAAGCUGUGAGGAAGGUGGGGAUGACGUCAAAUCAGCACGGCCCUUACAUCCGGGGCGACACACGUGUUACAAUGGCAUGGACAAAGGGCAGAUACCUGGUGACAGGAUGCUAAUCUCCAAACCAUGUCUCAGUUCGGAUCGGAGUCUGCAACUCGACUCCGUGAAGCUGGAUUCGCUAGUAAUCGCGCAUCAGCCAUGGCGCGGUGAAUACGUUCCCGGGCCUUGUACACACCGCCCGUCAAGCCAUGGGAGCCGGGGGUACCUGAAGUCUGUAACCGCAAGGAUCGGCCUAGGGUAAAACUGGUGACU
Molecule: ribosomal RNA, 1446 nt
Filed under: uncultured organism
Description: SSU rRNA
Rfam family: Bacterial small subunit ribosomal RNA
Source: RNAcentral